RNAcentral lists this ribosomal RNA (862 nucleotides) under uncultured bacterium. RNAcentral describes it as "bacterial SSU rRNA". It matches the Rfam family "Bacterial small subunit ribosomal RNA", at positions 91 to 948 of the family's 1533-position model. The record is from RNAcentral.
UUCAGCGGCGGACGGGUGAGUAAUGCCUAGGAAUCUGCCCGAUAGUGGGGGACAACGUUUUCGAAAGGAACGCUAAUACCGCAUACGUCCUACGGGAGAAAGCAGGGGACCUUCGGGCCUUGCGCUAUCGGAUGAGCCUAGGUCGGAUUAGCUAGUUGGUGGGGUAAAGGCUCACCAAGGCGACGAUCCGUAACUGGUCUGAGAGGAUGAUCAGUCACACUGGAACUGAGACACGGUCCAGACACCUACGGGAGGCAGCAGUGGGGAAUAUUGGACAAUGGGCGAAAGCCUGAUCCAGCCAUGCCGCGUGUGUGAAGAAGGUCUUCGGAUUGUAAAGCACUUUAAGCUGGGAGGAAGGGCAGUAAGUUAAUACCUUGCUGUUUUGACGUUACCAGCAGAAUAAGCACCGGCUAACUUCGUGCCAGCAGCCGCGGUAAUACGAAGGGUGCAAGCGUUAAUCGGAAUUACUGGGCGUAAAGCGCGCGUAGGUGGUUCAGCAAGUUGGAUGUGAAAGCCCCGGGCUCAACCUGGGAACUGCAUCCAAAACUACUGGGCUAGAGUAUGGUAGAGGGUGGUGGAAUUUCCUGUGUAGCGGUGAAAUGCGUAGAUAUAGGAAGGAACACCAGUGGCGAAGGCGACCACCUGGACUAAUACUGACACUGAGGUGCGAAAGCGUGGGGAGCAAACAGGAUUAGAUACCCUGGUAGUCCACGCCGUAAACGAUGUCAACUAGUUGUUGGGUUCCUUGAGGACUUAGUAACGAAGCUAACGCGAUAAGUUGACCGCCUGGGGAGUACGGCCGCAAGGUUAAAACUCAAAUGAAUUGACGGGGGCCCGCACAAGCGGUGGAGCAUGUGGUUUA